GGGUUGUGAGGUUAAGCGACUAAGCGUACACGGUGGAUGCCCUGGCAGUCAGAGGCGAUGAAGGACGUGCUAAUCUGCGAAAAGCGUCGGUAAGGUGAUAUGAACCGUUAUAACCGGCGAUGUCCGAAUGGGGAAACCCAGUGUGAUUCGUCACACUAUCGUUAACUGAAUACAUAGGUUAACGAGGCGAACCGGGGGAACUGAAACAUCUAAGUACCCCGAGGAAAAGAAAUCAACCGAGAUUCCCCCAGUAGCGGCGAGCGAACGGGGAGCAGCCCAGAGUCUGAAUCAGCUUGUGUGUUAGUGGAACGGUCUGGAAAGUCCGACGGUACAGGGUGAUAGUCCCGUACACCAAAAUGCACAGGCUGUGAACUCGAAGAGUAGGGCGGGACACGUGGUAUCCUGUCUGAAUAUGGGGGGACCAUCCUCCAAGGCUAAAUACUCCUGACUGACCGAUAGUGAACCAGUACCGUGAGGGAAAGGCGAAAAGAACCCCGGCGAGGGGAGUGAAAAAGAACCUGAAACCGUGUACGUACAAGCAGUGGGAGCACCUUCGGGUGUGACUGCGUACCUUUUGUAUAAUGGGUCAGCGACUUAUAUUCUGUAGCAAGGUUAACCGUAUAGGGGAGCCGCAGGGAAACCGAGUCUUAACUGGGCGUUAAGUUGCAGGGUAUAGACCCGAAACCCGGUGAUCUAGCCAUGGGCAGGUUGAAGGUUGGGUAACACUAACUGGAGGACCGAACCGACUAAUGUUGAAAAAUUAGCGGAUGACUUGUGGCUGGGGGUGAAAGGCCAAUCAAACCGGGAGAUAGCUGGUUCUCCCCGAAAGCUAUUUAGGUAGCGCCUCGUGAACUCAUCUUCGGGGGUAGAGCACUGUUUCGGCUAGGGGGUCAUCCCGACUUACCAACCCGAUGCAAACUACGAAUACCGAAGAAUGUUAUCACGGGAGACACACGGCGGGUGCUAACGUCCGUCGUGAAGAGGGAAACAACCCAGACCGCCAGCUAAGGUCCCAAAGUCAUGGUUAAGUGGGAAACGAUGUGGGAAGGCACAGACAGCCAGGAUGUUGGCUUAGAAGCAGCCAUCAUUUAAAGAAAGCGUAAUAGCUCACUGGUCGAGUCGGCCUGCGCGGAAGAUGUAACGGGGCUAAACCAUGCACCGAAGCUGCGGCAGCGACACUAUGUGUUGUUGGGUAGGGGAGCGUUCUGUAAGCCUGCGAAGGUGACCUGUGAGGGUUGCUGGAGGUAUCAGAAGUGCGAAUGCUGACAUAAGUAACGAUAAAGCGGGUGAAAAGCCCGCUCGCCGGAAGACCAAGGGUUCCUGUCCAACGUUAAUCGGGGCAGGGUGAGUCGACCCCUAAGGCGAGGCCGAAAGGCGUAGUCGAUGGGAAACAGGUUAAUAUUCCUGUACUUGGUGUUACUGCGAAGGGGGGACGGAGAAGGCUAUGUUAGCCGGGCGACGGUUGUCCCGGUUUAAGCAUGUAGGCUGGUUGUCCAGGCAAAUCCGGAUAAUCAAGGCUGAGGUGUGAUGACGAGGCACUACGGUGCUGAAGUAACAAAUGCCCUGCUUCCAGGAAAAGCCUCUAAGCAUCAGGUAACAUUAAAUCGUACCCCAAACCGACACAGGUGGUCAGGUAGAGAAUACCAAGGCGCUUGAGAGAACUCGGGUGAAGGAACUAGGCAAAAUGGUGCCGUAACUUCGGGAGAAGGCACGCUGGUGUGUAGGUGAAGUCCCUGCGGAUGGAGCUGAGACCAGUCGAAGAUACCAGCUGGCUGCAACUGUUUAUUAAAAACACAGCACUGUGCAAACACGAAAGUGGACGUAUACGGUGUGACGCCUGCCCGGUGCCGGAAGGUUAAUUGAUGGGGUUAUCCGUAAGGAGAAGCUCUUGAUCGAAGCCCCGGUAAACGGCGGCCGUAACUAUAACGGUCCUAAGGUAGCGAAAUUCCUUGUCGGGUAAGUUCCGACCUGCACGAAUGGCGUAAUGAUGGCCAGGCUGUCUCCACCCGAGACUCAGUGAAAUUGAACUCGCUGUGAAGAUGCAGUGUACCCGCGGCAAGACGGAAAGACCCCGUGAACCUUUACUAUAGCUUGACACUGAACAUUGAGCCUUGAUGUGUAGGAUAGGUGGGAGGCUUUGAAGCGUGGACGCCAGUCUGCGUGGAGCCAACCUUGAAAUACCACCCUUUAAUGUUUGAUGUUCUAACGUUGGCCCCUUACCGGGGUUGCGGACAGUGUCUGGUGGGUAGUUUGACUGGGGCGGUCUCCUCCCAAAGCGUAACGGAGGAGCACGAAGGUUAGCUAAUCCUGGUCGGACAUCAGGAGGUUAGUGCAAUGGCAUAAGCUAGCUUGACUGCGAGCGUGACGGCGCGAGCAGGUGCGAAAGCAGGUCAUAGUGAUCCGGUGGUUCUGAAUGGAAGGGCCAUCGCUCAACGGAUAAAAGGUACUCCGGGGAUAACAGGCUGAUACCGCCCAAGAGUUCAUAUCGACGGCGGUGUUUGGCACCUCGAUGUCGGCUCAUCACAUCCUGGGGCUGAAGUAGGUCCCAAGGGUAUGGCUGUUCGCCAUUUAAAGUGGUACGCGAGCUGGGUUUAGAACGUCGUGAGACAGUUCGGUCCCUAUCUGCCGUGGGCGCUGGAGAAUUGAGGGGGGCUGCUCCUAGUACGAGAGGACCGGAGUGGACGCAUCACUGGUGUUCGGGUUGUCAUGCCAAUGGCACUGCCCGGUAGCUAAAUGCGGAAGAGAUAAGUGCUGAAAGCAUCUAAGCACGAAACUUGCCCCGAGAUGAGUUCUCCCUGAGACUUUAAGUCUCCUGAAGGAACGUUAAAGACGAUGACGUUGAUAGGCCGGGUGUGUAAGCGCAGCGAUGCGUUGAGCUAACCGGUACUAAUGAACCGUGAGGCUUAACCUUACAACGCCGAAG
RNAcentral lists this ribosomal RNA (2923 nucleotides) under Klebsiella pneumoniae. RNAcentral's name for it is "23S ribosomal RNA". It matches the Rfam family "Bacterial large subunit ribosomal RNA". Lineage: Bacteria; Pseudomonadati; Pseudomonadota; Gammaproteobacteria; Enterobacterales; Enterobacteriaceae. RNAcentral also lists the same sequence under 1 other name. The record is from RNAcentral.